GAGAGAGGCCCGAGGCAAUAAAAACUGCUAAUUUUUACACUCCACGGUUAAACUCCGUGGCUCGCUCG
Molecule: non-coding RNA, 68 nt
Organism: Chanos chanos (milkfish)
Lineage: Eukaryota; Metazoa; Chordata; Actinopteri; Gonorynchiformes; Chanidae
Source: the annotation of a RefSeq genome assembly